This 319-nucleotide unclassified non-coding RNA is filed under the name uncultured fungus. RNAcentral describes it as "partial contains small subunit ribosomal RNA, internal transcribed spacer 1, and 5.8S ribosomal RNA". The stretch from base 1 to 73 matches the Rfam family "Eukaryotic small subunit ribosomal RNA", at positions 1759 to 1831 of the family's 1831-position model. The record is from RNAcentral. Lineage: Eukaryota; Fungi.
ACAAACUUGGUCAUUUAGAGGAAGUAAAAGUCGUAACAAGGUUUCCGUAGGUGAACCUGCGGAAGGAUCAUUAAUGAAUUUUAUGACAGGGUUGUAGCUGGCCCCAAUCGGGCAUGUGCACACCUUUGUACAUUCCAAUUCUUACACCUCUGUGCACUUUUCAUAGAUUUAGUGUGGAAAAGGUCAUAUCUGACCUUGGAAAUACUGAGUCUAUGUAUUUACAAACGCUUUAGUUAUUAGAAUGUCAUCCGCGUAUAACGCAAUAAAUACAACUUUCAGCAACGGAUCUCUUGGCUCUCGCAUCGAUGAAGAACGCAGC